RNAcentral lists this ribosomal RNA (204 nucleotides) under uncultured bacterium. RNAcentral's name for it is "partial 16S ribosomal RNA". It matches the Rfam family "Bacterial small subunit ribosomal RNA", at positions 1297 to 1500 of the family's 1533-position model. The record is from RNAcentral.
AUUGUAGUCUGCAACCCGACUACAUGAAGCUGGAAUCGCUAGUAAUCGCGGAUCAGAAUGCCGCGGUGAAUACGUUCCCGGGUCUUGUACACACCGCCCGUCACACCAUGGGAGUCGGAAAUGCCCGAAGUCAGUGACCCAACCGUAAGGAGGGAGCUGCCGAAGGUGGAGCCGGUAACUGGGGUGAAGUCGUAACAAGGUAAC